GGGGAAGAUCCCCAUUCGGUAUGGGUGAAAGCAGGACAGUAGAAAUUCUGUAGCAGCAGAAGUUGUCCACAGUGCUUCUGCCCUGGGAAGAUGGACUGAAGGACCCUGCAAAGAUAGGCUGACGGAUCUGGGAAGAUAGACUGAAGAGCCACCACAACUGAUAGCCUAAUCUAGGUGACAACGAGCCUGUGUGUGAUUCUGGAUCUGCUUCUUCAUUGUCUGAUUGGGCUAAAUAAAUUGAUAAGACUCAAUUCAGCACAAGAAAGAGGAGGAAACUCUGACAUGCUAUUGAAUACUCUGAAGAACAUUACCAGUUAUGCUUUUGAAGAUUUCUGGGAUAUCACCUCCAACAGUGGUCACUGCUAACAGAAGCAUAUGGGGAUAAUGCUUUGAGAGAGAGAGAAGAGCCUUUACUCUUUAUUACAGAGAAUUAUGAUUUGUCUCAAUAUUUUCUUUAACAAUGUGUGUUUAAUUAAUAGCACAUGAUAAAUGCAGUACAUUUUGUCAUCUACACAGAAUUGUUUUGAAAGAAUAAAAAGGAGUCCAUUUAAAUGUCUUUCAAUUUGUUUUGGUGGAGAAGGGCUCACCAUAGGAAGGCUCAUCUAUGUAGCAAAAUAAAAACCUCAUCUCCUCUGUCCAAACUGUCACAUGGCAGAGCCUCUGAUAUUAGGCCUAUUGUGACUUUUGAAAUUAGUCAUGGAGGCACUCUGUGUUGACUAUUC
RNAcentral lists this small RNA (722 nucleotides) under Rattus norvegicus (Norway rat). RNAcentral's name for it is "uncharacterized LOC102548988". Lineage: Eukaryota; Metazoa; Chordata; Mammalia; Rodentia; Muridae. The record is from RNAcentral.